AAGUCGAGGGGCAUCAGGGAAGUAGCUUGCUACUUUUGCUGGCGACCGGCGCACGGGUGCGUAACGCGUAUCCAACCUGCCCUUGUCCGCGGCACAGCCCGUCGAAAGGCGGAUUAAUGCCGCAUGCGGUCCGAAGACGGCAUCAGAUUCGGACGAAAGGUUUUAGGCCGGAGAAGGAUGGGGAUGCGUCCGAUUAGCUUGACGGCGGGGUAACGGCCCACCGUGGCGACGAUCGGUAGGGGUUCUGAGAGGAAGGUCCCCCACAAUGGAACUGAGACACGGUCCAAACUCC
This 292-nucleotide ribosomal RNA is filed under the name uncultured Prevotellaceae bacterium. RNAcentral describes it as "partial 16S ribosomal RNA". It matches the Rfam family "Bacterial small subunit ribosomal RNA", at positions 59 to 339 of the family's 1533-position model. Lineage: Bacteria; Pseudomonadati; Bacteroidota; Bacteroidia; Bacteroidales; Prevotellaceae. The record is from RNAcentral.